Caenorhabditis elegans is the source of this 232-nucleotide long non-coding RNA. Ensembl annotates it as ncRNA. Its record names the gene linc-10. Lineage: Eukaryota; Metazoa; Nematoda; Chromadorea; Rhabditida; Rhabditidae. The record is from Ensembl.
CUAUUGAUUUUUGCUUAACUAUACUAUUUUAAUUUGUAAUGCUUUGCCAACGGCUCUCUGUCUACCAAAAGACACAUGCCCACCAAUCAAAGACGCAUUGCUUCGUCUAACGCCAAACAUCCAGCAUGGAACAAAAAUAGUGGAAGAAAUGGGGGAUCCGAAUAAACCUGUUGAAUUUAACUGUUAAUUUCAAAACCAGAAUAAAAUAUUAAAUAAAAAAUUGAUUCAAUAG